ACUGCUCAGUAACACGUGGAUAACCUACCCUUAGGACUGGGAUAACCUUGGGAAACUGAGGAUAAUACCGGAUAGGCAAUUAUUCCUGUAAUGGUUUUUUGUUUAAAUGUUUUUUCGCCUAAGGAUGGGUCUGCGGCCGAUUAGGUAGUUGGUUAGGUAAUGGCUUACCAAGCCGUUGAUCGGUACGGGUUGUGAGAGCAAGAGCCCGGAGAUGGAACCUGAGACAAGGUUCCAGGCCCUACGGGGUGCAGCAGGCGCGAAACCUCCGCAAUGUGAGAAAUCGCGACGGGGGGAUCCCAAGUGCCAUUCCUAACGGGAUGGCUUUUCAUUAGUGUAAAAAGCUUUUGGAAUAAGAGCUGGGCAAGACCGGUGCCAGCCGCCGCGGUAACACCGGCAGCUCAAGUGGUAGCCGCUUUUAUUGGGCCUAAAGCGUCCGUAGCCGGUCUGAUAAGUCUCUGGUGAAAUCCCACAGCUUAACUGUGGGAAUUGCUGGAGAUACUAUCAUGACUCGAGGUCGGGAGAGGCUGGAGGUACUCCCAGGGUAGGGGUGAAAUCCUGUAAUCCUGGGAGGACCACCUGUGGCGAAGGCGUCCAGCUGGAACGAACCUGACGGUGAGGGACGAAAGCCAGGGGCGCGAACCGGAUUAGAUACCCGGGUAGUCCUGGCCGUAAACGAUGUGGACUUGGUGUUGGGAUGGCUUCGAGCUGCCCCAGUGCCGAAGGGAAGCUGUUAAGUCCACCGCCUGGGAAGUACGGCCGUAAGGCUGAAACUUAAAGGAAUUGGCGGGGGAG
RNAcentral lists this ribosomal RNA (792 nucleotides) under uncultured archaeon. Its description in RNAcentral is "bacterial SSU rRNA". It matches the Rfam family "Archaeal small subunit ribosomal RNA", at positions 85 to 876 of the family's 1478-position model. The record is from RNAcentral.